GGGGUUGUGGCUCAAUGGUAGACCACUCGCCUAGUAUGUGCGAGGCCCUGAGUUCAAUCCUCAGCACCACA
This 71-nucleotide transfer RNA is filed under the name Marmota monax (woodchuck). RNAcentral describes it as "tRNA.Thr". The record is from RNAcentral. Lineage: Eukaryota; Metazoa; Chordata; Mammalia; Rodentia; Sciuridae.